This 891-nucleotide ribosomal RNA is filed under the name Triticum aestivum (bread wheat). Its description in RNAcentral is "partial small subunit ribosomal RNA". The record is from RNAcentral. Lineage: Eukaryota; Viridiplantae; Streptophyta; Magnoliopsida; Poales; Poaceae.
AUGGCGCUGCUAUCGCCACCCUCCGCUCCGCCCCUGCUCACACCAGCUCGCCACCGCCUCGCCUCUCCCCAUCUCCUCGCCAUCCCGGCGUCACCGAGCUCUCUCCUCUCCCUCCCCCACCACCACCACAGCCUCCUCCUCCCCUGCGCUGCCAACGCCUGGCCGUCCCGUCGGCACCGUCGCCGCGGCAUAGCCGCGUCGCUCGGGCAGGAGGAGCCUGGAGUCUCCGACGCCCCCAUCACCUCCGAAGGAGAGUUCGGAGAGGGUGACUCUGAGCUGCCGAUUAACUUCGAUGCAGAGGCAGGCGCGGUCGCGGUUUCCGCCGAGCCGCCGGCGGACGCCAGCCCCGAGGACCUGGAGAACAUACGCGAGAUCAAAAGGGUGCUGGAACUUCUUCAGAAGAACAGAGAUAUGACCUUCGGUGAGGUUAAGUUAACUAUCAUGAUUGAGGACCCGAGAGAUGUAGAAAGGAAGAGACUGCUAGGCAUAGAGGAUCCUGACGAACUUACCAGGGAUGAUUUAGCUGAUGCUUUGGUUGAGGUUAAUGAAGGACGAAUUCCAGAGAAUCGUGAUACUCUUAGGUUGCUUGCCAAGGAGAUGGCAGAAUGGCCUGACGUUGAUGUAAAGAUAGAAAGUCAAAAGGGCAAGGGUUUCUUUGGCAGAUCUGUCUAUGCAAAGGCCACAGAUACGGGCAUUGAUCCUGUGGCAGCUGCUAAAAGACUCAACAUUGACUGGGAUUCUGCCGCUGAUAUAGAUGAAGGAGAGGAUGAGGAUGAUGAAGAUGAAGUUCCAUCAGCAGUGGGAUACGGUGCUCUGUAUCUGUUGACAGCCUUUCCUGUCAUUAUUGGAAUAUCGGUUGUGCUGAUCCUUUUCUACAACUCUCUACAGUAG